RNAcentral lists this transfer RNA (76 nucleotides) under Candidatus Aerophobetes bacterium Ae_b3b. Its description in RNAcentral is "tRNA-Lys". It matches the Rfam family "tRNA". Rfam says of the family: Transfer RNA (tRNA) molecules are approximately 80 nucleotides in length. Their secondary structure includes four short double-helical elements and three loops (D, anti-codon, and T loops). The record is from RNAcentral. Lineage: Bacteria; Candidatus Aerophobota.
GGGCUGUUAGCUCAACAGGCAGAGCAACGGACUCUUAAUCCGUAGGUUACAGGUUCGAUUCCUGUACAGCCCAUCA